RNAcentral lists this ribosomal RNA (468 nucleotides) under uncultured bacterium. RNAcentral's name for it is "partial 16S ribosomal RNA". It matches the Rfam family "Bacterial small subunit ribosomal RNA", at positions 28 to 507 of the family's 1533-position model. The record is from RNAcentral.
GACGAACGCUGGCGGCGUGCUUAACACAUGCAAGUCGAACGGAAAGGCCCUGCUUUUGUUGGGUGCUCGAGUGGCGAACGGGUGAGUAACACGUGAGUAACCUGCCCUUGACUUUGGGAUAACUUCAGGAGACUGGGGCUAAUACCGGAUAUGAGCUCCUGCUGCAUGGUGGGGGUUGGAAAGUUUCGGCGGUUGGGGAUGGAUUCGCGGCUUAUCAGCUUGUUGGUGGGGUAGUGGCUUACCAAGGUUUUGACGGGUAGCCGGCCUGAGAGGGUGACCGGCCACAAUGGGACUGAGGGACGGACCAGACUGCUACGGGAGGCAGCAGUGGGGAAUAUGGCACAAUGGGCGGAAGCCUGAUGCAGCAACGCCGCGUGCGGGAUGACGGCUUACGGGUUGUAAACCGCUUUCGCAUGUGACGAAGCGUGAGUGACGGUAAUGGGUAAAGAAGCACCGGCUAACUACGUG